CGCCGCACGCAGUGAGGCGCCAUGUUUUCGUACGGAAACGCGAGAGGCAUGGCCGAGUGCCCGCCGAUGAGUCUCAGCUGGCGGUGGCUCGAAGCUGGGGAUGGCCCGCCCCUAGGCGCCAUGUUUCCAUACGGAAAGACGGAACGCGCGCCGCAUCCCAGCCGCUGGUGCGGGUGACGCGAGGAGAAAGGGAGGCGGAGAAGGCGCGGCUUUAAAAAAAAGUUAGUCCGGGCGCAGCAGCUCACGCCUGUAAUCCCAGCACUUUGAGAGGCCGAGGCGGGCGGAUCACGAGGUCAAGAGAUCGAGACCAUCCUGGCCAACAUGGUGAAACCUCGUCUUUACUAAAAAUACGAAAAUUAGCUGGGUGUGGUGGCGCGCGCCUGUAGUCCCAGCUACUCGGGAGGCUGAGGCAGGAGAAUCGCUUGAAUCUGGGAGGCGGAGGUUGCAGUGAGGCGAGAUCGCGCCACUGCACUGCGGCCUGGAGACAGACCGAGACUCUGUCUCAAAAACAAACAAACAAAAAAAAACUACAAAAAAGCAGAUGGGGUGACAUUGGUGCUUUCAAACACUGCUUCUAAAUAGAUCACAUGUGGGUAGUUAUUGCUAACGUAUUGAAGGCCGAGUGCAAUACCAGACCCUCAAACCAUUUACUAACUUGCACAUUAAAGUCUUUGCUUUAAAAAAAAAAAAAAAAAGACAAAAACAGAAGUUCUCUGGUGAAGAUUCACUUUUUGGAGGAAAAAACACCAAAAACCCUUAAGAUACUCAACUAAAUGGAACUGUUAAGAUCUACAAAGAAUGGC
This 803-nucleotide long non-coding RNA is filed under the name Homo sapiens (human). RNAcentral's name for it is "HSALNT0173812". The record is from RNAcentral. Lineage: Eukaryota; Metazoa; Chordata; Mammalia; Primates; Hominidae.